UACAGGGGGUGCAAGCGUUGCUCGGAAUUAUUGGGCGCAAAGCGCGCGUAGGCGGCCUUUUAAGUCGGAUGUGAAAGCCCUCGGCUCAACUGGGGAAGUGCACCCGAAACUGAAAGGCUUGAGUACUGAAGAGGGUCGCGGAAUUCCCAGUGUAGAGGUGAAAUUCGUAGAUAUUGGGAGGAACACCAGCGGCGAAGGCGGCGACCUGGUCAGAUACUGACGCUGAGGCGCGAAAGCGUGGGGAGCAAACAGG
Molecule: ribosomal RNA, 253 nt
Filed under: uncultured bacterium
Lineage: Bacteria
Description: partial 16S ribosomal RNA
Rfam family: Bacterial small subunit ribosomal RNA
Source: RNAcentral